Molecule: ribosomal RNA, 253 nt
Filed under: uncultured bacterium
Lineage: Bacteria
Description: partial 16S ribosomal RNA
Rfam family: Bacterial small subunit ribosomal RNA
Source: RNAcentral
UACGAAGGGGGCUAGCGUUGCUCGGAAUCACUGGGCGUAAAGGGUGCGUAGGCGGGUCUUUAAGUCAGGGGUGAAAUCCUGGAGCUCAACUCCAGAACUGCCUUUGAUACUGAGGAUCUUGAGUUCGGGAGAGGGAAGUGGAACUGCGAGUGUAGAGGUGAAAUUCGUAGAUAUUCGCAAGAACACCAGAGGCGAAGGCGGCUCACUGGCCCGAUACUGACGCUGAGGUGCGAAAGCGUGGGGAGCAAACAGG